AAGUCGUAACAAGGUUUCCGUAGGUGAACCUGCGGAAGGAUCAUUACUGAAUUGUCAACAAGAGUUGUUGCUGGUCCUCAAAUGGGGGCAUGUGCACGCUCUGUUCACACAUCCACUCACACCCUGUGCACCCUCUGUAGUUCUGUGGUCGGGAGGCCUGUCCUCCUGCUGUGGUUCUGCAUCUUUACACACACACUGUAACAAAGUCUUAUGGAAUGCAUGCCGCGUUUAACGCAAUACAAUACAACUUUCAGCAACGGAUCUCUUGGCUCUCGCAUCGAUGAAGAACGCAGCGAAAUGCGAUAAGUAAUGUGAAUUGCAGAAUUCAGUGAAUCAUCGAAUCUUUGAACGCACCUUGCGCCCUUUGGCCAUUCCGAAGGGCAUGCCUGUUUGAGUAUCAUGAACACCUCAACUCUUCAUGGUUUUCCAUGAUGAGCUUGGACUUUGGGGGUCUUGCUGGCCUACGGUUGGCUCCUCUAAAAUAAAUCAGCUUGCCAGUGUUUGGUGGGUAUCGCAGGUGUGAUAACUAUCUACGCUUGUGGUUUUCCACUGAGUAACCUUCAGCAGUGGAGGUUCACUGGAGCUCACAGAUGUGUCUCUCCUCAGUGAGGACAGCUCUUUGAAUGUUUGAUCUCAAAUCAGGCAGGACUACCCGCUGAACUUAAGCAUAUCAAUAAGCGGAGGA
RNAcentral lists this ribosomal RNA (685 nucleotides) under uncultured Tomentella. Its description in RNAcentral is "eukaryotic LSU rRNA". The stretch from base 246 to 400 matches the Rfam family "5.8S ribosomal RNA". The record is from RNAcentral. Lineage: Eukaryota; Fungi; Basidiomycota; Agaricomycetes; Thelephorales; Thelephoraceae.